AUAUCAAGUGGAACACACUUAUAUGUUCCUUAAGCUUUCUAUUGUCAUAAUUAGCAUUACAUUUUUCUGGUGCUUGGCUAGAUUCUUUUCUUGAGCAAUAACGGCACGGUUCCCUACUUUCCUUUUCUAUGUCUAAUACAAAUGGAAACUCAUGGUGUUAUCAUAUGUAUCAUUUUCCCCUAAGUUUAAUCUUUCAAACAAAAUUAGGUUGUUCAAUCAGGAAUACUCACCAUUGUUUUGUUUAAUAGUUUUAACAAAAUGAACAUGAAUUUUUAGUGCUUUACGCUUAUUUUCUGUUGUUCUAAUCGUACUUUAUCUUUUUCUUCUACUGAUAACAAUACAUAUCUUUUUCUUGCCUUUUGAUUCCCAAAUUGCUUUUUAGCAUUAAGUUUUUCAAUAUUGUUUGUUUGAUCCAUCCUAAAUUUCAACCCACAAGCCCUAAACUUAAACAUAGAAAAUUUAUAUAUAGCAUUUGUUUGCUUGACUACUACAACUAAGAACCAUUAUUUCGAUCAAUACAUGCAUCUACAAAUAAUUAGAGAGCAAAUUAAUUUUCCUCAUUACAAACACUAACUUGUAUCAAACAAUU
RNAcentral lists this long non-coding RNA (589 nucleotides) under Coffea arabica (coffee). RNAcentral describes it as "long non-coding RNA (CARA_LNC003713)". The record is from RNAcentral. Lineage: Eukaryota; Viridiplantae; Streptophyta; Magnoliopsida; Gentianales; Rubiaceae.